CGGCCGAUGCCUGAUUAGCUAGUUGGUGGGGUAAAGGCCCACCAAGGCGACGAUCAGUAGCUGGUCUGAGAGGACGAUCAGCCACACUGGGGCUGAGACACGGCCCAGACUCCUACGGGAGGCAGCAGUGGGGAAUUUUGGACAAUGGGGGCAACCCUGAUCCAGCAAUGCCGCGUGUGUGAAGAAGGCCUUCGGGUUGUAAAGCACUUUUGUCCGGAAAGUGACGGUACCGGAAGAAUAAGCACCGGCUAACUACGUGCCAGCAGCCGCGGUAAUACGUAGGGUGCGAGCGUUAAUCGGAAUUACUGGGCGUAAAGCGUGCGCAGGCGGUUUUGUAAGACAGGCGUGAAAUCCCCGGGCUUAACCUGGGAAUUGCGCUUGUGACUGCAAGGCUAGAGUGCGUCAGAGGGGGGUAGAAUUCCACGUGUAGCAGUGAAAUGCGUAGAG
Molecule: ribosomal RNA, 447 nt
Filed under: uncultured bacterium
Lineage: Bacteria
Description: bacterial SSU rRNA
Rfam family: Bacterial small subunit ribosomal RNA
Source: RNAcentral